GACGAACGCUGGCGGCGUGCUUAACACAUGCAAGUCGAACGGAAAGGCCCUGCUUUUGUGGGGUGCUCGAGUGGCGAACGGGUGAGUAACACGUGAGUAACCUGCCCUUGACUUUGGGAUAACUUCAGGAAACUGGGGCUAAUACCGGAUAGGAGCUCCUGCUGCAUGGUGGGGGUUGGAAAGUUUCGGCGGUUGGGGAUGGACUCGCGGCUUAUCAGCUUGUUGGUGGGGUAGUGGCUUACCGAGGCUUUGACGGGUAGCCGGCCUGAGAGGGUGACCGGCCACAUUGGGACUGAGAUACGGCCCAGACUCCUACGGGAGGCAGCAGUGGGGAAUAUUGCACAAUGGGCGGAAGCCUGAUGCAGCAACGCCGCGUGCGGGAUGACGGCCUUCGGGUUGUAAACCGCUUUCGCCUGUGACGAAGCGUGAGUGACGGUAAUGGGUAAAGAAGUACCGGCUAACUACGUG
RNAcentral lists this ribosomal RNA (468 nucleotides) under uncultured bacterium. Its description in RNAcentral is "partial 16S ribosomal RNA". It matches the Rfam family "Bacterial small subunit ribosomal RNA", at positions 28 to 507 of the family's 1533-position model. The record is from RNAcentral.